RNAcentral lists this ribosomal RNA (2633 nucleotides) under Triticum aestivum (bread wheat). RNAcentral's name for it is "partial small subunit ribosomal RNA". The record is from RNAcentral. Lineage: Eukaryota; Viridiplantae; Streptophyta; Magnoliopsida; Poales; Poaceae.
UGGUCACAGUCAGGUGCAUGCACUGACGGUUCACCAGGCGGGUAGGUGCCGUCGGACCUCGGCACCUCUCGGGUGCCGCCGCUGGCCGGUCGGGGUGUGCAGUGCUGGACCGCAGGUAGGUGCCGCCGCUGGUUGGUCGGGGUGUGGUGUGCAGUGCCGGACCGACGCCUACUCCGCUUGUGGUUGGUGGGCGUUUCUAGCCCGCGGCUGCUCGUGCCGUCGCCGUUGGUUGGGGGCUUCGACUCCGGGGCGCGCGGCGGCGGCGUUGUCUUUUUGUCUCCUCUCGCUCUGUGCCGGCGCGUUGCCGUUGUCCCCUCCUCUUGUCUAGGGCGCGGGACGUAAACGGGACGAUAGAAGGAGGUGGCCACUCUACCAGCCUCCCUACUUUGGCUGCGCUGUUCGGCCGGCCGCCAGCAGUACCGCCGCCGCCACGAUACUCGUUACUCGUGCUGUGCCGGACCUAAAGAAACGUUCUUCUGCGUAGAGGCUAGCGCACGGCGCCACCAACCGAAGAGCUUAGGAAGAACACAUGCAUCGGCAGUACAGCAGGUUGAGGAGGAGCCGGCGGGGUGGCGGCGGGAGGUUCUCGUCGGGAGGAGGUAGCCGUCGGGGCGGCGGCAGUGGCAGGUAGAGGUUAAGCAGGAGCGGCCGCGGCAGGUCGAGGUUGCUGGGGAGCGGAGGCGGACGCGGCGGGUUCAGGUUACCGCGGGGCCGCAGCGGUCGUUCCCAAGGCAGAGGUGGUCGGGUUAGUAGGUCUCCGAGGCCACUGAGCUCGUCCAGCAGUGUCUGAAGACGCGUGGCACAGUCGGGGUUGUGGUGCCGGCUCUAGUAAAAGCGGCGGCGGCCCCGCCGCUACGAGGAGCGCGAGGAGUAGCGCCGGACGCAGACGACGAGCUCCUCCUGCCGCGGCUCCGCCUCCGCCUUCGGAGUGUUAGGGUACGUAAAGAUGCGGCUAUGGAGGCCGUUGUUUCCAUUUUGCGUUACGAGUGUUUCAACGGUAGCUAGCGGUAACGUACGAGCACCACGACAAGGAGAACGAGAACUAAACGUAUGCACAACAAUUGGUGUCGGCCGUCGUGCAUGAUGUGGCCGCCCGGCGUCGGCGUCACGGUCUCGCCGUGGCCGCGCCCCGGCAGCUGCUCGUGCAGGGCGGGUGGGCCCCGUCGGACCGGCAACGGCGGGCCGUACUUGAGCCCGCAGAUGAGGUCGGGCGCGCUGGUCGGCUGCAGUGGCGGGCGUGGCGUCCUCUGCGACCCCGAGCCGUCCCCGUGCAAGUGGAUGCUCCUCGAGCGCCGCCGCUGCCCGCCGAAGAGCGUCAGCUUGGACGAGCCCGUCCCGCCCAAGCCCAUGCACGUGUUCCCCCACGAGGGGUCGCCGUCCCGCCACCGGCACUUCGUCGAGUUCAGGCCCUCGCCCGUCCCCCUCGCGCUCAAGGUCCGGCUCCACCUGUAGUAGCCGGCCCACGUGGUGGCGGUGGAGCACAGGGAGCAGCCGGUGACGUAGCGGCCGCGGUCGGCGUACGAGCAGAUGCUCAAGCAGGGGUUGUUCUGCGAGCUCAAGGUGGAGGUACCCCUUCCCAACGGCGGCUACCGUACCGGCUGCUCCGACGCGUAGCGCGAGCCCCGCCGCUUCCCCGAGCGGAUGGACGUGCUUCUGACGGUAGGUGCCUAGUAGGUGGCGCUGUAGUUCAGCCGGUUGUAGGAGGACCUGUUGUUGAAGCUCCGGUACCACCGCCUGAAGCCCGACCGGUUCGACUGCAUGCUGCCGUAGUGCGUGCAGAGCUGCGCCCAGUACCCCUGCAAGCCCAUGGACCGCGGCCUCAUGCGCAGCUCGCCCUUCGACUGCCUCUUCAGCCUGCAGAUGAGGAUGCCGCACUACGACCAGCUCGAGUAGUGCCCCGCCGCCGGGUAGCUGCGGUGGCGCGUGAACCAGGACCUCCUGCCGGACCAGCUUACCCGCUCCGGCCGGGACAGCGCGCGCGAGCGGCUGCCGCUGAUGCUGCGGCAGCGGCUGGGCUCCGACGUCCCGUCGAUGCUCGGCCACCUCUACCGCGCGCACCACCGGUCGCGGCGGCGGACGCAGGCCGUGAGCCGGUUCUUCGCGGGCUUCUACUCGGUCUAGCACUCCCGCGACCUCCCGCUGUACAGCGACCUCCUGGACUUGCUGCCCCACGCCGGCCCCGUCUCGUCCGACAAGCUCCUCCCCCGCCCCAGCACGUCAAGGCUGUACUUGGCCUGGUUUCACCACCAGCACCGCUCGGGGCUCAUGUCGCCGUCCAAGCCUGCCGGGAGCGGCCAGUCGUCGCUGUCCGGUUAGAGGCUGCUCUACUCAGGCCGCCUCUCUGUCGUCGGCGUGGAGACUGGCUAAGACACCAAAAGAGGAACGGCAUGCAGACCCAUCAAACAAGUACACGAUAAAGAUUGUAAAGCACAAUGGCUAAUCACAACCACACCUCUUGGUAUGUACAGUACAAACCUGUAUCUUUCUCGGUAACUUUUCCAAAGAAAGAAGACAUCUGUUGUCGUUACGUAAAUAUAUUUUUGUUAUUACAUGCAUGAGUUGAUUUGACUUUUUAUAACACAACGAGAACUGUGCUCUCCAUUCGAUAGAGUAUCUCAUAGUGUUAUAGGAUG